Long non-coding RNA from Glycine soja, 889 nucleotides. RefSeq lists it as uncharacterized. NCBI's taxonomy places the organism in Eukaryota, Viridiplantae, Streptophyta, Magnoliopsida, Fabales, Fabaceae. The transcript has 2 exons. The record is from RefSeq and is a predicted model, not a curated record.
UGCCCAUAUGAGUGAGGGGGUGUUCAUCUUUUACUAAAGUUGGUUUGGGUGACGUCCCAUGUUCCCUCACUAUUGGAACCCCACUAUUAUAGAGUCCACUUACGUACUAGAGGUGAGAUUGGUCAAUUGCUUCUUAUACCUCCCAUUAUUUGAAAAAAAUAGGGAGAACGAACAAAUUUGCCCCUCACCCUUUUAACUUAACCUAGGCUUCUUCUUUCUUUUUUUGGUUUUCUUGUGCACCGCGCGACACCUCCUCUUCCCCCCUCUUUGCCGCCCUAUACCUCCACUACUUCUUGCAUUUUUGUUUUCUUCAGCGUGUUUGUGAGUAGAAGGAGUGAAGAAUCACCCACUUCGACAAGGAUCCAAGAGGCAUGAAGAAGUGUGGAAAACAAGCUAUGGACAACUGAGGAAGACAACGUUAGUAUGACCAUUUUGUAAAACUGGGAGGUGCAGGAAGCAAACAAGGGUGCAGGAAGCAAAAGCCGAGAGAGAUCGUCUAUUCGGACGAAGCUAAUGGGCUACUUGGAUUUGUUUUCCCGUUUUUGGUGGAAAUGCCCUAAUUGGGUAGGGGCGUUCAACCAACAAAUUAAAAUUAUGAUUAGUAGCAAAUUAGUGAAAAACUGUCUCACCAUCGUAAAUACGACAUGUCAUUGGAUGUACGGAGUGAUGUUUCAAUAAAAAAAAAAAACGAAGUGAUAUUACAUGAAAAGAGAAAAACCCGUAAUCCUAUAUACAAUUUGUGAGAGAACGUUGCACAAUUUUAGGGAUGAAGACAUUCUAUGGUAGCCCAAUUGACUAUAUGCAUUGUGUUGUCACGAGAUUAUGUGGAACUGGGAUAUUAUGUAUUAUACUAACAAUUAUUAAUAUUAAUUUCUGAUUUUUGCUAACA